AAUGAUCGCUCCAAAGUAAAUGGGUGCUGGGAUUCCUGCUGUAUAUAGAAAGUGAAAUAAUUUUAGUGCAGGAGAGAAAAAAAAACCAACUGAGGAUCAACUACGGGUGGAUACAUUUUUGAGGAACUUACCAAGUGUAUGAGUUGCUAAAGCAUGGAAUCCCAAGGCAAAUGAUUUUAGUUGUGGUUUGAUGCACCUAUAAGAAAGAAAUUUGGAGUAAUGUGUUAUACAUUCAGUGAAAUGAGGAUAAAAAAAUCAGCAAUGAUACCUGCAUCACAAAAAUCAACAUUCAAGGUCUGAUUGGGGCGGCACGGUGGCCGACUGGUUAGAGCGACAGCCUCACAGUUCUGAGGACCCGAAUUCAGUUCUGUGAGUGCGAAUGGUUGUUUGUUUCUAUGUGCCCUGCGAUUGGCGGACCCCGCCUCCUGCCCGAAGACAGCUGGGAUUGGCUCCAGCACGCCCGCGACCCUAGUGAGGAGAAGCGGCUCAGAAAAUGGAUGGAUGAAUGGAGUUUAAAUUACAUCUGCCAGCACUACUCAUUCUGAAGGCCUUGGCAUAUUAGAUUGAUAUGGUAGCACAUAAAGGCUGAAACCUGAUUGGACAAAAAAAAAAAAAGAAUCCAGCAUCCACAGGUUAUAAAAUGUAGAGAAUAUUUUGUCUUACUUUCAUUCUAAUAUCAACAUAAAAUACAUAGAUGUAGACAACUGCACUUUGUUUCCCCAAACAUCUCCUGGUUCAAAAGUCUAAUACUCGGUUUGGCAAAAGCACAAAGUGCAGCUGCUCUACAAUAGUGGGUGAGAUAUUAAAUUACUGUUUCGUCAAGCCUUGCACGAAAAAAAAGUUACUUUUACUGAUACUGCAGUUGACAUCAGUUGGUGGUUUCCUAUUGCAGUGGUCAGAUAUUUUCUCAUAUUAAGCAAUUUUGCCCAAGGGACGAAACUGAAUUCAAUGUAAAUUCUGAAAAUAAAAGUUGGUGUUUGGCAUUUCCAUACAAAACACAGUCACAUGUGUGCUUUCUUUGGCUGAUGCAGCGCAUAUAUCUACAGUAGUUCUAGUCAUUAAUGCACUUUUGACACAAAAAGAAAUCAAUUUCCCUCUUAUUCAGGAAAGUCAGUGCUGGUUAAAGUUGAAACUAAUAACCAGUCUGCUUUGAAAUACAAGCUUGUGCUUGCAUUGAAUUGAUAGUGAAGUGAUGAUUGAUUGGACUAGAUUAACAUGGAUGAUAUGUUUCAUAAAAUGUGGGAUGUUUUGCUGUUACAUAAUUUCAAGUAGAUGUUGCUUCUUUGCAAUACAUGCUGUUUAGUAUUGGCCUCCAGCAAAUGGAGCCCUUUGGAUUAAAUUGUCUUUCCUGUUUGCUAAUUCAGUUAUAUUCUCAACAACUCUGCCUGAGUGACGAGUUAAACAGCAAUGUUACAUACAUGCUUACAAGAUUAUCACACCAAUUUGCCGAAAGUGUGCAUUUCUUCUCAUUGUAACAUUAUUUCCUGCCCUUUCUUCUUUGGUGAAUGACAGUGUGGAUAGAGGAAGAUGUCUUCAUGUCGCAAUAAAGGAACAUCAAUGUAUAUACUCUAUCAUUCAAAAAUACCGCUUUAACAAAAAUAGUACAACUCAUUGCAAGGCCUUUGCCAGCUUUCUAUUUUGAGAAUGUUUUGAUUUACUUUGAGUCUGACACCGAAAUAAUGCGCUACACCGUGCUGUAAUCUAUCCCUAGACUCUCUCCUUGCCAAUAUGAACUGAAUAUCAAUCCAUAGUCCGUUUAACAUGGCAAAUUUAGCAGAUACAAAAAAAAAAAAGAAAAGCUGAUGUGCCUCCUUUGAGGUGUUGUGGCACCUCACACUUUGAAAACCUUUGCCUCAAAGCAAAUGUGCUUUGCAUGCAUAACAAUUCAACAAAAUGCUUUGUAAGUGAAAUGCUCUCAGAACAUGAAAUCACGUGCAUCCUGACACAUAAUUAUUGCUAUUGCUAAUUUAUCAGUCACGCUGAUUCCACAUAAUUAUGAAAAGGUGAUGUAUUUUUUUUUAUUCUAAAAAAAACCAGUUAUGCUUUUAUUGUACCUGCUUCGGAUUAACAAGUAAGAAUAUGUUUGAGCGGCUGGCUCUGCCUAACCCUAAGUAUACUGAGGCGUAUACACUACUGGGUAUGUUUACAAUAGAGAAAUUCCUGGCUAUUUUACGUGUUUACACCUUAAAUAAAACACCAGAGAUAAUUCUAGGGACAGCAAAAUAGGAAGACACCCAGUGCUUCAGUUUCUGCUGUGAUAUAGAAGGAUAGUUUAUAUCAGGGAUGGCAAACACACUGAUUGUAAGCAGCAUUCAACUUUUUGGCUGCCCCGGUGUCAGUUGAUUUUUAACUCGGCCUUUAGAGGAGGGGUAUCGAACUCAUUUUUGUUGCAGGCCACAUCGUAGUGAUGGUUUGCCUCAGAGGGCCGUUAUGACUGUGAACCCAUAUAAAUGUAUGAUGACAUAUUAUUACGUAGACACAAAAAAAAUGAUGGCUUACUAGUUUUGAAAUAAGAAAGCAGUCAAAAAAAAAGUUGUUUGUUCAACUGUUAUUGUGUUUAUUUUGAAAGGGGCAUUGGAACAUAAAUGCUUGCAAUAUCUAAACAUUAUUAGAAGUGAAGAAAAGUUGCAAUUUUCGUGUUUUAGCAAGAACCGUGAAGUUGAGGCAUAUGAUUUGGUUCUGCGGGUCACAUAAAAUGAUGUGGCGGGUCGGCUCUUUAGAAGUGUCUAAGGUUUUUUUCACUUUCAAAUAUAUACAGUAUAUACUGUAGCUAUGGAAAAAAACAUAAAGGGCUCUUUCUUUCAUCCAGCGCUGCGUUUGGCAUAUCUCUGCAAGGAGGUGGGCUAAACCCGGAUUUGGUAAUUUUGUGAAGCGGCAUACCACCAACACCUUUAAAAGUCUGCGAUGCUCUGAGCGUGUGCACAACCGACUUCAAUCCUGUCCAAUCAAAGCGGGCUUUCUCGUUCCCUUUCAGAUCGUUUUCAAAUAGUCUUGCAUGAAGAUGUCUUUAUUUACGGAAGAGAACCGUACGUGAAUGGAGCUUUGUCACUGCUCUUGGCCAAUGUGGCAACACGAUACAUGAAUAAAUACAGUACGAGCUCAUGGUGAUAACUGCAGGUGACUUCAAUAUAUCCGUAGACCUCAUAUAUUCAUCACCACUCACAUCAUUCAUGCAAGUAAAUAAUAAUAAUAUAAUUUCAACCUGUCUUUUUCAUUAAUCAGAAAAUAAUAGUGUUUUACUAUUUUUGCCCUUUAAAACUAAGUACAGUUCAGUAUUUAACUUUUCAGUGUAAAACAUUUGCAGUUCAUCUUUAAGAAGUGUUUGGUUUUAAACUUAGGGUAAAUUUUUCUAUAUUGUAUGUUUUUUUAUAUGCAACAAAUUUUAAUUAACUCAUUCAGUACAGUUUAUUUUUUUGAACGUUUUUUCCGAUGUGUAUUUAAGACCAGUGUUGAGAUUCCAACAGCAUAAUGUUACAGAGGCUUACAUUAGUAUUAAACAUGCUUUAUAGGAAUAAAACCUUUAAAACCUGCCUAGUUUUGUGAGUAUUUUAAUGAUUGUCAUGAUGAUGGUACUUGGAGGUCUAUUUUUAUUUUUUUUUAGGUGGUAAAAGGUUGGAGAAGCACCCCUCUACAUUCUGUUAGCCUAUUAUUAUAUAUAUUUUAAUUACUAAUACUAUUAAUUAAGGUCAGAUGUGGCAUAAUCCUGAUGUUGGGUGGCGGACUAAUAUACGGUAGUUUGUUGAGCUGUGUAUAUUCAAUGUUAUUGUAUGGUUUUUAAGUUUUUUUUAAAGUGCUCUAUAAAUAAAAUUGAUUUGAGUUCAGUUAAUCGGUCCAAACAAUGUAUUUAUUGACUAUAGAUUUUUUGUUCAUCAGUCUAUUCCGGUGACAUAUAGUGACAAGCAGAACAAUUAAAUGCUCUUCCACUAGAUGGCAGAAGGUGCAGUUAGUCUCUGUAGCCACCUGUUGCUAGUCAUACAAGAGAAUAAUAGCUUUUUGCGUUUAACUAAAGUUCACGAUGAGUAAGCCAAUUUGUGAGUAAAUGGAGACACUAUCAUAAUUUCAGUACAUAUGCCUGUUGUGACAUUUUUAUUUGGUGAUGUGCCAUGAGAUUUGAAUGAUGUAAAAUGUUUGCCUUUGCUCAAUAAAUGUUUGGGGGAAAAAAACAU
This is a long non-coding RNA of Phyllopteryx taeniolatus (common seadragon), 4166 nucleotides long. RefSeq lists it as uncharacterized. The record is from RefSeq and is a predicted model, not a curated record. NCBI's taxonomy places the organism in Eukaryota, Metazoa, Chordata, Actinopteri, Syngnathiformes, Syngnathidae. The transcript is spliced from 2 exons.